AGUACUUGGGUGUAGUACAUUUAAAGCCUAUAGAAGUACCAUGUUUAAGGCUAUAUAUCAUUUACCUGAAGAUGACAUAAUUCAUUACCUGAUAGUUCGUUCAUACAAACGAGAUUACAUUCAAGCUAGAAGAUAUUGAGGUAGAGAUGUUCUACAGGGUCGACAUGAGACCACAUGAAGCUAUCAUAUUUGUCUAUGUUAUCCAACUCAUGUGUUCUCAGGUCGCCCCUGCUGAAUUUUC
Molecule: long non-coding RNA, 241 nt
Filed under: Medicago truncatula (barrel medic)
Lineage: Eukaryota; Viridiplantae; Streptophyta; Magnoliopsida; Fabales; Fabaceae
Description: lncRNA gene33104
Rfam family: MIR398 microRNA precursor family (bases 145-241)
Source: RNAcentral